This 635-nucleotide unclassified non-coding RNA is filed under the name uncultured Bordetella sp. RNAcentral describes it as "partial 16S-23S ribosomal RNA intergenic spacer". It matches the Rfam family "Bacterial small subunit ribosomal RNA", at positions 10 to 651 of the family's 1533-position model. The record is from RNAcentral. Lineage: Bacteria; Pseudomonadati; Pseudomonadota; Betaproteobacteria; Burkholderiales; Alcaligenaceae.
GGUUCGAUUCUGGCUCAGAUUGAACGCUGGCGGGAUGCUUUACACAUGCAAGUCGAACGGCAGCACGGACUUCGGUCUGGUGGCGAGUAGCGAACAGGUGAGUAAUGUAUCGGAACGUGCCUAAUGGCAGGAUAACUACGCUAGCGUAGCUAAUACCGCAUACGCCCUUCGGGGAAAGCAGGACCUUCGGGCCUCGCCACUAAUAGAGCAGCCGAUAUCGGAUUAGCUAGUUGGUGGGGUAACGGCUCACCAAGGCGGCGAUCCGUAGCUGGUUUGAGAGGACGACCAGCCACACUGGGACUACGAGACACGGCCCAGACUCCUGGGAGGCAGCAGUGGGGAAUUUUGGACAAUGGGGAAACCUGAUCCAGCCAUCGCGUGUGCGAUGAAGGCCUUCGGUUGUAAAGCACUUUUGGCAGGGAAAGAAACGGCACGGGAUAAUACCCCGUGCAACUGACGGUACCUGCAGAAUAGCGCCGGCUAACUACGUGCCAGCAGCCGCGGUAAUACGUAGGAGUGCAAGCGUUAAUCGGAAUUACUGGGCGUAAAGCGUGCGCGGGCGGUUCGGAAGAAAGAUGUGAAAUCCCAGAGCUUAACUUUGGAACUGCAUUUUUAACUACCGAGCUAGAGUGUGU